GACGUAGGGCGCGAGCGUUGUCCGGAAUUAUUGGGCGUAAAGAGCUCGUAGGCGGCCUGUCGCGUCGGUUGUGAAAGCCCGGGGCUCAACCCCGGGUCUGCAGUCGAUACGGGCAGGCUAGAGUUCGGUAGGGGAGAUCGGAAUUCCUGGUGUAGCGGUGAAAUGCGCAGAUAUCAGGAGGAACACCGGUGGCGAAGGCGGAUCUCUGGGCCGAUACUGACGCUGAGGAGCGAAAGCGUGGGGAGCGAACAGG
Molecule: ribosomal RNA, 253 nt
Filed under: uncultured bacterium
Lineage: Bacteria
Description: partial 16S ribosomal RNA
Rfam family: Bacterial small subunit ribosomal RNA
Source: RNAcentral